Molecule: unclassified non-coding RNA, 1063 nt
Filed under: Leishmania donovani
Lineage: Eukaryota; Euglenozoa; Kinetoplastea; Trypanosomatida; Trypanosomatidae
Description: gene:unknown
Source: RNAcentral
CCGCGAGGCACACUUUCCGGCCUCCUCUAAUCGCUUGUGGACCCCUUGCCUACACCUCACACUCCGAAGUACCCUGGCCGCGAGUACUCGCACACACACACACACACACACGCAUAUAUAUAUAGGGCACACUGCUCACACCUCUCGCACCCCAUCAAGAGCGAAUGGGGCAGUACACACGCGACGAGUGGUCACUGUAGCGGCGCUGCUUCGCUGCAUACCCCCCGAUGCCACGCGUCGCGCUCGGUGUGCGCGUGCCGGGCUCGGGUCUGGAUGGGCGGUCGCAUGCUCACGGUCUGCGGACCCGAUGGCGAGGGGGUCUCCCUCGACGAGCGCACCCGCGUCUCCGUGCAGAUCGCACCCGGGGUCACCCUGGGGGACUUGACGCAGGCGUCUGCGACGACGGCUGCAGGAAGCGCAGGGCUUGUCGGCGCGGAUGCAUUCCACGCUGGCGCACCGGGCACAUGUAGCAAUGGCAGGUCCAGGCUGCGCCUUCUACGUAGCCCCCCUGCUAAAAACGAAAGGAAAUGCACGAUUUCCCCUCUUCUCACCUGCGUGCGAUUUUAUCCUGUUUUUCGUUUCCAUGGCUCACACACGCACACACACACACACACACACACACACACACACGUAUGCUCCUGCCCCCUCCCCGACCAUUGGCUUCACCCACUCGCUAUUGAGUGCUCGACGAUAUCGGUGAGUACACCUGCACUUUUGUCAACCAGAAACGAAGGACACAACAGAGGCGAAAGAAAAAAGAAACGUUGCUCUUUCCCUACCCUGCUCAGAGGCGGAAUGUGUCUCUGUCGGCCGACACCGACGAAGAAGCGGGGAGGGGUAUCGCGGGGAAGCGCGAGCGACGUGCUUGCUUUGUGCGCCGACGUAUGUCACCAUGCAUGCGUGAGUUCUCCCUCAUUGCACUUCCUCACUGCUCUCUCUCUCUGUGGCCAUGGUGCCCCAUCUCUCUAUCACUGCGUCUUCGUUGCUGCACUCUCUUUCCGCCAACUUCCUCAACGCCUCACCCUGCCCUCACACUCGCCUGCUUCACUGCGUUGACGCAAAG